Molecule: long non-coding RNA, 2149 nt
Organism: Liolophura sinensis
Lineage: Eukaryota; Metazoa; Mollusca; Polyplacophora; Chitonida; Chitonidae
Exons: 5
Source: RefSeq, a predicted model, not a curated record
CAAGAAUAAGAACAUAUAAGUACAUUAAGACUCCAAAAUCCCACGUUUUUCAUCUUUCUUCAAGAUAAAUUCAUUAGACAUACCCACAGUUCUAACAGAGAAGCACUGGAUUUCGAACAUUCCCCUAAAAGUGGCGAGUUCUGCCCAGGUAACGUACAACUGAGACUCCGCCAGCGAGACGGGCGAUGUGCCAUGUCACGACGCCCAGGCAAGCGGGACUAGCUGGGAUCGAAGCCGAAGGCAGGAGUCUGUGGGCCGUAGGCCGGGCUGUUUGGUCGCCCGGUCAUCGCGUCCAAGGCACAUUAAGAACAAGGAAAGUUUAUGUAUAAAAUCAACUGCAGUGUUAAUCACUAAUUAAACUACUUACCAAAUCUUCCAGCAGGUGCUCUCAAGCAAUCAGGUCUCCAACUUGGCAUUUUGUUCUUUCACUGUUUCAAAAUCCAUCACACAGAGGGAAGUAUAAACUUCACUAACUCCACCGAAUGCGUGUGCGCCGGGUACAGCCAUUUCCUGAGGGCAGCUGUCUAGGUGGCGCUAGUGAGGGGCACCUGCCUCGAAGCAUCCAUACCAGACACGUGCCCCUUUUCAUAGUCUGCUAGAAAGUCUUAAGAUUCUUUUAAUAGCUUGGAUUAUGGCGUGCCCGAAGAGCGAGAUCUAUAUCGUAAAGAGAUAUAAAUUCUCUAUAGUGUAGACCUAUAUGUGUUUUUUAAUGCCAGACCUUCUGUUUCAGAUUCGUACACAGGGACUUAUUUUAUGCAUGGACAUUUUUGUUAGUUUUCAGGAUGAGAGCAAAUUACAGAAAACCUGACCCAAGGACCCAUGCCCAAACCCAAGAUCCCCAUGGAUUCACGGACAAAAAUAAAAAAAAGGUGACCUGCGUUCCUCUGAAGAUUGCCCCUGCCGAUGGCGUGAAACGUAGGUCUUCCCGUGAGCUAACCUGUCCAGGUUUCCGGCGGAUCCUGGAACUGUGUCCGGUGAUUACGACGGACGGACUGUGUGGUUACCUGCCUCCGGCUUGUGAACUUCUGAUUCUCCGGAGGGCACUAUUUCGCCAGCUUAAGCGUCACCACACCAGGCAUCACCGACAGGGCCAAGGAAGACAUUCUCGGCGAUCAUGAACGUGUAGUUCAGGGAGGAGAGCUUUGCAAGAGUGUCCUCUCAUGUGAUGAGCCGCGUCAUGGAGAUGUCGUGUGUUCUGUCGUGGCUCCUUCGAACACGAUAGAAUGUGGGCAUGACACUAAAGAAUACAUCCGAGAUGGUUAAAGGAUCGGAUGUAAUACUCCAUCAGCAAGCUCAUUCAAGUCUCGAAGAAAAGAAACAAAACAUCCGUGGGAUCAGCUAAGAUCUCAUCAAAGGGAAAUGGUCACGUCGAUGUGAGGCGAUUACUUAAGAUACAUCAGAGAAAAAUGCGAUCCUUCAGAACUAUACGAGAGGGUAUGUGCACGCAGACUGAUUCAUUCGCCAUCCAACCAAGCUAUACCAAAAGAUCUGAACAUAAGAAACACCGUUCAUAGUGACUAUAUAUGAUUCUCAUAUCAGCGAGAUUUAUGAGAAAUGUGUAAUAAACCGACUUUAACCAAGCCUCUGUCCGGAUCAUCUGAGUAUUCCUGGAAGAACUGACUCAUGGCAAGUGGAAAAUACCAGGAAAUAAAAAACACUUUGAAGGCAUGUCAAAACCAGGUGCUUCAUUAGUUGCACAUGUCGCACAUAAUGGAUCAAAUAAUGGAGAAAUUAUAUAACUGGAUGGCUUACAUUUCUUACAGCACCUGCAUGGAUGACAGGUAGUGACAGUUGGUUUUGUGCGUUUGAAAGAUAUAUUUAACGAAGUUCUACACCAAAAGUAGCAUUUAUGUACCUUUUUUUAAAUCCAGUUUUACCUAACCAAUAUGUCGCACAUAUAACGAGACGCACAAUAUCGAAGUAUAUAUCCCAGCAAACAUGGAUGGGUCCGUCUUUUUCAUGGACUUAGACUGUGUGUUUUUGAUUCACAUAGUAUUAUGUACACAUAUUGUUCUUUAUGUUCCACUUCAUAUAUAGAGUACGGUAAAAUAGUGAAUACGUCCCUCAUUCCGGUUGUUUAAAAAGAGCCAUUAUUGAUGCGGACUUUGUUACAGAUCUUUGUUAAAGCUACUAAUGUCAGGUCUUUAAA